Molecule: ribosomal RNA, 499 nt
Filed under: uncultured bacterium
Lineage: Bacteria
Description: partial 16S ribosomal RNA
Rfam family: Bacterial small subunit ribosomal RNA
Source: RNAcentral
GACGAACGCUGGCGGCGUGCUUAACACAUGCAAGUCGAACGGGCCUGUCUUCUUUUUUGGGGGUGGGUUGAGUGGCGAACGGGUGAGUAUCACGUGAGUAACCUGCCCUUCGGUCCUGGAUAACCGCUUGAAAGGGCGGCUAAUACGGGGUGGUCCGGUUGGUCCGCAUGGGCUGGUCGGGAUAGAUUCACUGUUUUUGGUGUUUCGUCGGGGGAUGGGCUCGCGGCCUAUCAGCUUGUUGGUGGGGUGAUGGCCUACCAAGGCGGUGACGGGUAGCCGGCCUGAGAGGGUGGGCGGCCACACUGGGACUGAGAUACGGCCCAGACUCCUGCGGGAGGCAGCAGUGGGGGGUAUUGCACAAUGGGCGGAAGCCUGAUGCAGCGACGUCGCGUGAGGGAUGGAGGCCUUCGGGUUGUGAACCUCUGUUUCCGGUGGUGAAGGCCCUGUCCGUGUGGUGGGGUUGACGGUAGCCGGGGAUGAAGCGCCGGCUAACUACGUG